UGAUCUCUUAAAGGAUAUCUCAUUUCACUUGAUGAAGAUUCACCUUCAUGCAUUCCAAUAGCUCUUGCAAUCUUCUUUUCUCUUAAAACUUGUCUCUUCACACUUAAAAGUUGGUAUUCCUCAUCACCAUCAUCAUCUUCAACGUCUUGAUUGUCUUCAUUGCUGGUUUUAGUAAUUGUAGGUACCUCAAGAUCUAUCUUCUUUGAUUCUUCAUCUUGAUUUGAAAUUCUACCAUCUUCACUAUUAUCAUCAUCUUCUUCUU
This 262-nucleotide long non-coding RNA is filed under the name Physcomitrium patens. Its description in RNAcentral is "long non-coding RNA (PPAT_LNC001800)". The record is from RNAcentral. Lineage: Eukaryota; Viridiplantae; Streptophyta; Bryopsida; Funariales; Funariaceae.